Long non-coding RNA from Bos taurus (domestic cattle), 1772 nucleotides. NCBI's taxonomy places the organism in Eukaryota, Metazoa, Chordata, Mammalia, Artiodactyla, Bovidae. The record is from Ensembl.
CGGAAGCGGGAGGGCCCGCCCCUUCCGGCACCGUGGGCGCAGCCCUGAGAUGCCCGUGCUGUGGCCCGGAGAGGCUCGUGCUGGGCUUCUGGCCUCGGGGCCGUCAGAGGACCUGUGAGGAGAGGAGGCCACUGCACUUUCGCCGUCUCGGGCCCUGGGUGCCCCGUGUGCUCCGCCAGGGAACCCGUUAGAGACGCAGGCCCCUGUGUCGGCGCCAGCUGGGUCGAGGCCGGGCGUGCGUGUAAGAGCAGAGCUGGCCCUGCCCGCCCCGGGCCAGGCGAGCAGGGCGGGGAGGAGCGGAGGCAGGAGGACCCGGCUCAGCUCGUCUCCCCCUGAGCCGCGACGCUCCUUCACCCUGGAGCCUCCUCGGACGUCCUAGGAGACCACGAGAGAGGCUCUCUUGAAGAUGACAGCCCGGCUACUAAAGAGUGUGCCUCCUGCAUGUUCAUCUGGUGAUUCCUCACAGCACAUUCAGGCUGCGUGGAGCAGGGCCGGGUCUCAUCACACCACCUCUCCCAGGAGUCACCUUUGGGCAGCCCCGUGACUGCUGUCUGUUAUCAUUAACCACUUAGGAUGACACCUCCCAGGCAUGUCCGUUUCAUGUUCCUCUCUUCUCCUUUUUGGUAUUUUGCAUAUAAAUACUCUGAAAUUAGGAGGGAGACAAGCACACAGAGGUGUGUCUCAGAGCUUGUCUCUAGCCACACGGAGUUAAAGUUGCAUCUUGAGGCCCACUCUGCUUCCUUCUUAGUGACGACCCUCCAUCAGAUCCACGAGGGAGCCGAGUGUAACACGCACAUGCUCCUGCGUGCCUCGGAAGGACAUACGCGUCCUGCCCACCCCAGACCUCCCCGGGAUGGCCACUGCCCACCAUUUCAGGGCCACCUGGGGGUUUUCCUGCCUGUUUCUAAACAGUCUCCUUGAGGAGCUGUUUCGCCUGCACUUACUAUGUACCAGGAGGUCUUGGAAGCGCUCUUUUCGCCGUUUAACUCCUGAUUUUCUCAGUAACCCAAGGAAGCAGGUACUAUCUGUGAACCCAUGAAAAAACAGACCCAGAGGAGUUAAGGCAUUGGUGCAGACACAGCAAGGAAGCGGCAGGGCUGGGCCUCGACCCAGGGCUGCCGUGUGGCUGGAGCGGCAGCUCUGUCCCCUGCGCACUGGCUUCCUGUCCUGGAGGAUCAGGCUUACCCGCUCGUAGCCUCUGUGCCCCUCCUCCCAGCACCCUGUCUGCAUCACUGAUGCCCGUGUUCUCCUGUGCCCUCUGCCUCUCUCUCUCUCACCAUCCUGACUCACCCGGUGGGUGUUGCAGCGUGAACUUCCCAGGAACGAGGCUGCCCCGACUUGCCAGUGCUGUUCCAGCCCCUGCACAUCAGAAACACUCUGUAUUCCAGUUUUCCCAGUCAGCCCCAAAAUGCCUUUCACGUACCCUUUCAAUCCAGAAACCCUUGAGGAUCGUGUUAUGGCUGUUCUAACACCUCUCUCAUUUCCAUUAGUCUCGAGCCGCUUUUCCCCUCCCCUCACGACAUGGACACCACACAGUCCAGCUGAGCUGUCUUGAGUGGUGUCCACGGCCUGGACUGCGUGCUGGUUUCCUCAGGAUUCAGUUCAGGUCGAACGUUUCGGCGGGAGGGCUGCACAGAUGAUCUGUGUCCCUCCUGUCUUUUUGCAUUGUCUAGCUCUAAUCACUUGGCUGAGAUGACUACCAGGCUUGCCCAGCAUAAGCUGCGUGCCCCUUUCUGAAAAUGAUAAGAAAUCUGUGGGGUGAGACACUGAAG